CCUACGGGAGGCAGCAGUGAGGAAUAUUGGUCAAUGGGCGGAAGCCUGAACCAGCCAAGUCGCGUGAGGGAUUAAGGCCCUGCGGGUCGUAAACCUCUUUUGCCGGGGAGCAGAGGUCCGGACGUGUCCGGGCCGGGAGAGUACCCGGAGAAAAAGCAUCGGCUAACUCCGUGCCAGCAGCCGCGGUAAUACGGAGGAUGCGAGCGUUAUCCGGAUUUAUUGGGUUUAAAGGGUGCGUAGGCGGACUGUUAAGUCAGCGGUAAAAGCCCGGGGCUCAACCCCGGCGAGCCGUUGAAACUGGCUGG
Molecule: ribosomal RNA, 305 nt
Filed under: uncultured bacterium
Lineage: Bacteria
Description: bacterial SSU rRNA
Rfam family: Bacterial small subunit ribosomal RNA
Source: RNAcentral